RNAcentral lists this ribosomal RNA (266 nucleotides) under uncultured bacterium. RNAcentral's name for it is "partial 16S ribosomal RNA". It matches the Rfam family "Bacterial small subunit ribosomal RNA", at positions 524 to 788 of the family's 1533-position model. The record is from RNAcentral.
UACGUAGGGUGCAAGCGUUGUCCGGAAUUAUUGGGCGUAAAGAGCUCGUAGGCGGUCUGUCGCGUCGGCUGUGAAAACUCGGGGCUCAACUCCGAGCUUGCAGUCGAUACGGGCAGGCUAGAGUUCGGCAGGGGAGACUGGAAUUCCUGGUGUAGCGGUGAAAUGCGCAGAUAUCAGGAGGAACACCGGUGGCGAAGGCGGCUUUCUGGGCCUUACCUGACGCUGAGGAGCGAAAGCUGGGGGAGCGAACAGGAUUAGAUACCCCU